AUGUUUCAAAAUAGCUUUCUUUUAGUAUUCAAAAUUUCAAAUAUAUGAAUUGUUGAAUUGUUUCUAUUCAGCUCUAAAAAAAUUGUUGAAUGCAUUGGAUCAUACCCAGUAGCAUUAAUUUCAAGAAUGUACAUAGAGUGUGAUUUGGAGGAAGAAGCAGUUUGUACGUUGUAGUGUCUCAACAUUUGGAAUAGACUUGAGUUACACUCGGUCAAUAUUACAGAAAAUCCACUGUAAUGGAGAGAACAAUUUUUUUAGAGCUGCUUCAGAAUAACCUUGUGUUCAAAUGUUGAGAGUAUAACCUUGUGUUCAAAUGUUCUUUGCAAAAGAAAUGGUAUUUGGGGAGAAAUUUGUUUUAUACAUCUGGAAUAAAAAUGUGAGUUUUAUGGAGUCGAAAAGUACACUUUUGAACAAAUUAUGUCAUCCAAAAGCAUAUACUCCAGAACCAUGUGUUAUGUUUUAGAAAUGUGGUGGAUUUCAGAGGUAGCCUCCAAUAUUUAGGUCACCAAGCUUCUUGCUAUUACACUAUUCCUUUGUCUUCCUGAGUUCAAAAUAGAUGAUAGCUAAUUUACAGACGAAAAUAAACGAAAACGUGAAAAGACUGGGC
This 607-nucleotide long non-coding RNA is filed under the name Medicago truncatula (barrel medic). RNAcentral describes it as "long non-coding RNA (MTRU_LNC001603)". The record is from RNAcentral. Lineage: Eukaryota; Viridiplantae; Streptophyta; Magnoliopsida; Fabales; Fabaceae.